This 87-nucleotide transfer RNA is filed under the name Minisyncoccota bacterium. RNAcentral describes it as "tRNA-Ser". It matches the Rfam family "tRNA". From Rfam's summary of the family: Transfer RNA (tRNA) molecules are approximately 80 nucleotides in length. Their secondary structure includes four short double-helical elements and three loops (D, anti-codon, and T loops). The record is from RNAcentral. Lineage: Bacteria; Bacillati; Minisyncoccota.
GGAGAGGUGGCUGAGCGGUCGAUAGCAGCAUCCUGCUAAGAUGUUGACCGGGAAACCGGUCCGAGGGUUCGAAUCCCUCCCUCUCCG